Ictidomys tridecemlineatus (thirteen-lined ground squirrel) is the source of this 109-nucleotide unclassified non-coding RNA. The record is from Ensembl. NCBI's taxonomy places the organism in Eukaryota, Metazoa, Chordata, Mammalia, Rodentia, Sciuridae.
UAUUCAGAAUUCAUUUUUAGAAGAGGUAAUAAUGGGACUCUUGAAGGGGGUCUUGCCUCUCUUCGCUCCCCAACUGUGCGGAGAUACCAUUCUGAAAUUCCCAUUGAGG